Molecule: long non-coding RNA, 713 nt
Organism: Calypte anna (Anna's hummingbird)
Lineage: Eukaryota; Metazoa; Chordata; Aves; Apodiformes; Trochilidae
Exons: 3
Source: RefSeq, a predicted model, not a curated record
CUCUGUUUGAAGAGAAUGCAAAAGACCAUCCAGCCUUAAACCCCUGAGAUUAGGGGCAAUAUUUACUGAAGUCCAGUAGAUGCUCCUUUAACUUGGUGGCCGGGACGUGCUCCAAAGUCCCUAGUCCUGCGGUCCCCCCGCUCCCCCCACUCCCGCCUCUCGCUUCAAAGCUGGUGUCCUUGCAGAAACCAUGUGAGUCACGGCGCUGAGACAUAACACUACAGCCACCCAGUAAAGGCGGCCAGAGGGUUGAAUGCGGAUCCACCGAUAUUAACCUCCACUUGGCAAACAUCAGUCGUCCUUCUUUCUUUAAAUCUGGUAACAGAAUUAAGUCAAAUCCUCGAAACAAACAGAACUCUGGAAUCAGCAGAUGAGAACAAGAAAACGUCUCUUGAAGGAAAUAGAUAAAAGCACUGGAUUAAACCUCUGAUUUCUCAAACGGUCAAACUACACCCAUGGAAAUUUGAACAAAACUCAGUGGAAAACUCUAAGAAAUACUACAAUUGCGGUCUUCAUAUAUGCACCCUGCUUCUAUCAUUAAUGGAAGUGGUCUGUAAGUCUGAAAAAAGACCCCCUUCUGUGGUGGCUUGUUUAAUUCAGCACUUGAGGUCUGUGGGGUUCCUUGCCGCUGCAUGCGACGAGACUGGGACCGCUGUAGCUGUCCCAGCGACUCUGCUGGCUGCAACCUCCCCUCCGGCUGACCUCGGGGCGGU